CGAACUGCUUUCCACACGUUCCAUCAGUCAUUGCUCCACGAGAUAAGGUUGGAUGCAAAGCGGCGGGUUCCUGUGUUGCCUACCUAUUGUGAUGGAAAUCGUUCAAUUCGAUGUGCCUUUCGUCCUCGCGUCCUCUCGGACGUUCGGAUGGACUAGACGGAAGGGCUCGUGUACCACGGACGAAUCGCACGAUCGUUCCGAUGGACCACGAGCUUCUUCUCGUUCUCUCGGAUGCGGAAAGUCCCUCAUGGGCGUGGGUCAUUGGCCCUCGGACCCUAAUCUUUAAGCGGACGGGAAACGCUUUACAUGGGAAUGACGCUCUCGCCUCGUCUUCGACCAUGCGGAGCCCCCGGGUUCUCGCGAUGGAUCGUGCGGGGUGGACGUCGUGAAGGAAUGC
RNAcentral lists this unclassified non-coding RNA (397 nucleotides) under Homalospermum firmum. Its description in RNAcentral is "partial external transcribed spacer". The record is from RNAcentral. Lineage: Eukaryota; Viridiplantae; Streptophyta; Magnoliopsida; Myrtales; Myrtaceae.